This 1129-nucleotide ribosomal RNA is filed under the name Rhodotorula mucilaginosa. Its description in RNAcentral is "eukaryotic LSU rRNA". The stretch from base 533 to 1129 matches the Rfam family "Eukaryotic large subunit ribosomal RNA", at positions 1 to 613 of the family's 3401-position model. The record is from RNAcentral. Lineage: Eukaryota; Fungi; Basidiomycota; Microbotryomycetes; Sporidiobolales; Sporidiobolaceae.
UUAGUGAAUAUAGGACGUCCAACUUAACUUGGAGUCCGAACUCUCACUUUCUAACCCUGUGCACUUGUUUGGGAUAGUAACUCUCGCAAGAGAGCGAACUCCUAUUCACUUAUAAACACAAAGUCUAUGAAUGUAUUAAAUUUUAUAACAAAAUAAAACUUUCAACAACGGAUCUCUUGGCUCUCGCAUCGAUGAAGAACGCAGCGAAAUGCGAUAAGUAAUGUGAAUUGCAGAAUUCAGUGAAUCAUCGAAUCUUUGAACGCACCUUGCGCUCCAUGGUAUUCCGUGGAGCAUGCCUGUUUGAGUGUCAUGAAUACUUCAACCCUCCUCUUUCUUAAUGAUUGAAGAGGUGUUUGGUUUCUGAGCGCUGCUGGCCUUUACGGUCUAGCUCGUUCGUAAUGCAUUAGCAUCCGCAAUCGAACUUCGGAUUGACUUGGCGUAAUAGACUAUUCGCUGAGGAAUUCUAGUCUUCGGAUUAGAGCCGGGUUGGGUUAAAGGAAGCUUCUAAUCAGAAUGUCUACAUUUUAAGAUUAGAUCUCAAAUCAGGUAGGACUACCCGCUGAACUUAAGCAUAUCAAUAAGCGGAGGAAAAGAAACUAACAAGGAUUCCCCUAGUAGCGGCGAGCGAAGCGGGAAGAGCUCAAAUUUAUAAUCUGGCACCUUCGGUGUCCGAGUUGUAAUCUCUAGAAAUGUUUUCCGCGUUGGACCGCACACAAGUCUGUUGGAAUACAGCGGCAUAGUGGUGAGACCCCCGUAUAUGGUGCGGACGCCCAGCGCUUUGUGAUACAUUUUCGAAGAGUCGAGUUGUUUGGGAAUGCAGCUCAAAUUGGGUGGUAAAUUCCAUCUAAAGCUAAAUAUUGGCGAGAGACCGAUAGCGAACAAGUACCGUGAGGGAAAGAUGAAAAGCACUUUGGAAAGAGAGUUAACAGUACGUGAAAUUGUUGGAAGGGAAACGCUUGAAGUCAGACUUGCUUGCCGAGCAAUCGGUUUGCAGGCCAGCAUCAGUUUUCCGGGAUGGAUAAUGGUAGAGAGAAGGUAGCAGUUUCGGCUGUGUUAUAGCUCUCUGCUGGAUACAUCUUGGGGGACUGAGGAACGCAGUGUGCCUUUGGCGGGGGUUUCGACCUCUUCA